CCUACGGGCGGCAGUGGGGAAUAUUGCACAAUGGGGGAAACCCUGAUGCAGCGACGCCGCGUGAGCGAUGAAGUAUUUCUGUAUGUAAAGCUCUAUCAGCAGGGAAGAAAAUGACGGUACCUGACUAAGAAGCCCCGGCUAACUACGUGCCAGCAGCCGCGGUAAUACGUAGGGGGCAAGCGUUAUCCGGAUUUACUGGGUGUAAAGGGAGCGUAGACGGUCCUGCAAGCCAGAUGUGAAAGCCCGGGGCUCAACCCCGGGACUGCAUUUGGAACUGUAAGGCUAGAGUGUAGGAGAGGCAGGCGGAAUUGCUAGUGUAGCGGUGAAAUGCGUAGAUAUUAGGAGGAACACCAGUGGCGAAGGCGGCCUGCUGGACGAUGACUGACGUUGAGGCUCGAAAGCGUGGGGAGCAAACAGGAUUAGAUACCCCAGUAGUC
RNAcentral lists this ribosomal RNA (437 nucleotides) under uncultured bacterium. Its description in RNAcentral is "partial 16S ribosomal RNA". It matches the Rfam family "Bacterial small subunit ribosomal RNA", at positions 338 to 795 of the family's 1533-position model. The record is from RNAcentral.